This 252-nucleotide ribosomal RNA is filed under the name uncultured bacterium. RNAcentral's name for it is "partial 16S ribosomal RNA". It matches the Rfam family "Bacterial small subunit ribosomal RNA", at positions 793 to 1055 of the family's 1533-position model. The record is from RNAcentral.
GUCCACGCCGUAAACGAUGGAUACUAGCUGUUGGGAGCAAUCUCAGUGGCUAAGCGAAGUGAUAAGUAUCCCACCUGGGAGUACGUUCGCAAGAAUGAAACUCAAAGGAAUUGACGGGGCCCGCACAAGCGGUGGAGCAUGUGGUUUAAUUCGAUGAUACGCGAGGAACCUUACCAAGGCUUAAAUGUAGAUUGACCGGUUUGGAAACAGAUCUUUCGCAAGACAAUUUACAAGGUGCUGCAUGGUUGUCGU